CAAGGUUUCCAGGUGAACCUGCGGAAGGAUCAUUA
RNAcentral lists this ribosomal RNA (35 nucleotides) under Timgrovea sp. H4146. RNAcentral describes it as "partial 18S ribosomal RNA". Lineage: Eukaryota; Fungi; Basidiomycota; Agaricomycetes; Agaricales; Bolbitiaceae. The record is from RNAcentral.